UGUAAAGUUCAAGCUCCGAUUAUGAGGGCGAACCGCGAAUGGCUCAUUAAAUCAGUCGUAAUCUACUUGAUUGUUUAAAGUUUAUAUGGAUAACUGUGGUAAUUCUAGAGCUAAUACAUGCACAAAGGGGGCGACUCUCGCAAGGGAGAAGCUCUGCGUUUAUUAGACUAAGACCAAUGAGGCUGCAGCAAUGUAGUUCUCUCAUUUUAAGGUGACUCUGAGUAAAUAAUGGGUGAAAGCCCAUGUUGCUGACCUGACAUACCAAAAGGCUCGCAAGAGUCUGUCAGGCAAAUCAAUCGAGUGUCUGCUCUAUCAACUGUGGAUGGUAGGGUAACUGCCUACCAUGGUGAUGACGGGUAACGGGGAGUUAGGGCUCGACUCCGGAGAACAAGCCUGAGAAACGGCUAGUAGGACUAAGGUCUGCAGCAGGCGCGAAACUUACACAAUGCUAGAUUAAAAUUAGCGAUGUAGUGAAGAAAAAUAACGAUGUACUUACAUUUAAACAUGUUAGUACAAUUGGAAUGAGACGACUAUAAAUCAGUCAGUCGAGUAACAAAUGGAGGGCAAGUCUGGUGCCAGCAGCCGCGGUAAUUCCAGCUCCAUUAGCAUACAUUAAAGUUGUUGCGGUUAAAAAGCUCGUAGUUGAAUUUUAGGCGAGCUCUAUUGGGAUGCAACCGUUAAGGGUUCAGGCUAUCUUCGGAUUCUUGCAAUCUGGUUGUAUUUUCCCUAUAGGAACUCGCUGUUUCGUCACUUAUUCGAGUGCGAAGCGGGCUGGAACGAUGGUCAACUUCGGUUGCCUUGUUACAGCAAGUUUACCUUGAGAAAAUUAGAGUGCUCACAGCAGGCAGUUGGGGUGUAAAAGCUCCUUUAUGCUUGAAUAAUGUUGCAUGGAAUAAUAGAAUAUGGCCUCGGUUCUAUUCUGUUGGUCUUAUAGAACAACAAAUAAGUUGGUUAAAGCGACCAAAAGUCCGUUUGUGAGUGUGGUCUCUUGUGGCUUGUUAUGCGGAUAGUAGCUCUUGCUUAGAACUUAGUUUGAAUUCUGUUGCCUGGGGCCUUAAAAUCUCAGAGCCUGGUUCUACUAUGCAUCUUUGUAAACUGCUAACGUUAACUUGUUCGCUUGUUUCCAUUAAAGCACUCCUUAUUGGGCUAGCUUUUAAUCAACUGAGGCAAUGGUUAAAAGAAAUAGUCGCGGCGGCAUCAGUACUGCAUCGUGAGAGGUGAAAUUCUUAGACCGAUGCAAGACUAACUGAAGCGAAAGCGUUUGCCGAGGAUAUUUUCAUUAAUCAAGAACGAAAGUUAGAGGUUCGAAGGCGAUCAGAUACCGCCCUAGUUCUAACCAUAAACGUUGCCAACUAGCAAUUGGGUUGCGAUUCCUUUAAUCGGAGCGUAAAAACUCCGAUCAUUAUGAUCCACCCAGCGGCUCUCGUAGGGAAACCAAAGUGUUUGGGUUCCGGGGGAAGUAUGAUUGCAAAGUUGAAACUUAAAGGAAUUGACGGAAGGGCACCACCAGGAGUGGAGCCUGCGGCUUAAUUUGACUCAACACGGGGAAACUUACUAGAUUAGAACUCUGGAAUGAUUGACAGAUUGAUAGCUCUUUCUUGAUUCAGAGGAUGGUGGUGCAUGGCCGUUCUUGAUUCGUAUUCCGAAACGUCUGCUUAAUUGCGAUAACGAGUGAGACCUCACCCAACUAACUAGUCGUUUGGUGCGCUAGGAACGCAAAAGUCCUGGCAGAUCCCUUGUAGGGCGGCAUUUCGGUGUUGUUUUAUGAGGCCUGUUUUGGAUGUUCUCUGCUCGCCAGCGGACUUCUUAGAGGGAUAAACGGUGUUUUAGCCGUAAGAAACGAGGCAAUAACAGGUCUGUGAUGCCCUUAGAUAUUCUAGGCCGCACGCGUGCUACAAUGGCGUGUGCAGAAAGCUUGUUCGAGGUUCGUCUUGGGAAAACUAGUCAUUUGGCUUGGUGUUGAGCAGCAAUGUGAGAUAUCGGUCGGUGGAAAAGUACCCAGGUUAUCGGGCCGAGAGAAACCGUAGUCGAAAGAUUACGGCAAUCAUAAAUACACGCCGUGAUUUGGGAUUGGGGAUUGCAAUUGUUGCCCAUGAACGAGGAAUUCCCAGUAAGCGCAAUUCAUCAUAUUGCGUUGAUUACGUCCCUGCCCUUUGUACACACCGCCCGUCGCUACUACCGAUUGGAAGUUUUAGUGAGGCAUCUGGACCUGCUUUCCAUCGAAGGGGCAACCUUUCUAGGCGAGCGGGGAAGUUUGUCGAACUCAAAUUUCUAGAGGAAGUAAAAGUCGUAACAAGGUUUCCGU
RNAcentral lists this ribosomal RNA (2305 nucleotides) under Calepitrimerus sp. NJAUEriHN134. RNAcentral's name for it is "18S ribosomal RNA". It matches the Rfam family "Eukaryotic small subunit ribosomal RNA". The record is from RNAcentral. Lineage: Eukaryota; Metazoa; Arthropoda; Arachnida; Trombidiformes; Eriophyidae.